Molecule: ribosomal RNA, 127 nt
Filed under: Aeromonas caviae
Lineage: Bacteria; Pseudomonadati; Pseudomonadota; Gammaproteobacteria; Aeromonadales; Aeromonadaceae
Also listed under: 1 other name
Description: partial 23S ribosomal RNA
Rfam family: Bacterial large subunit ribosomal RNA (bases 1-107)
Source: RNAcentral
UGAGGGUCCUAAAGGGCCGUUGGAGACCACAACGUUGAUAGGUGGGGUGUGUAAGCGUAGCGAUACGUUGAGCUAACCCAUACUAAUUACCCGUGAGGCUUAACCAUACAACACCCAAGAAGUGUUC